This 454-nucleotide ribosomal RNA is filed under the name uncultured Prevotellaceae bacterium. RNAcentral's name for it is "partial 16S ribosomal RNA". It matches the Rfam family "Bacterial small subunit ribosomal RNA", at positions 341 to 792 of the family's 1533-position model. The record is from RNAcentral. Lineage: Bacteria; Pseudomonadati; Bacteroidota; Bacteroidia; Bacteroidales; Prevotellaceae.
ACGGGAGGAAGCAGUGAGGAAUAUUGGUCAAUGGGCGGGAGCCUGAACCAGCCAAGUAGCGUGGAGGAAGACGGCCCUACGGGUUGUAAACUCCUUUUGCCGGGGGAUAAAAAACGGGACGUGUCCCGUCUUGCAGGUACCCGCGCGAAUAAGGACCGGCUAAUUCCGUGCCAGCAGCCGCGGUAAUACGGAAGGUCCGAGCGUUAUCCGGAUUUAUUGGGUUUAAAGGGAGCGUAGGUGGAAAUGUAAGUCAGCCGUCAAAUCGCGGAGCUCAACUCCGUCCAGCGGUUGAAACUGCGUUUCUUGAGUGCGCAAGAGGCAGGUGGAAUUCGAGGUGUAGCGGUGAAAUGCUUAGAUAUCUCGAAGAACUCCGAUUGCGAAGGCAGCUUGCUGGGGCGCAACUGACGCUGAGGCUCGAAGGUGCGGGUAUCAAACAGGAUUAGAUACCCUGGUA